Molecule: long non-coding RNA, 900 nt
Organism: Triticum dicoccoides
Lineage: Eukaryota; Viridiplantae; Streptophyta; Magnoliopsida; Poales; Poaceae
Exons: 4
Source: RefSeq, a predicted model, not a curated record
GGGAAAAUAUCCUGUGCUCCGAACGAUUCGGUGCUCCGGCUGCACCCAACAUAGCCCACACGAUAGAUGCAAAAUAUGGGGACAGGAUGGAACCGGGACGCCCCCUCCCUUCAGAAUUUGCAAAGAUCACCUCACGUAAGUACAAAAUAGCCCAAAAGCUACUCCAAUGUGCUGCCCCAGGUUAGAAACAGAAUGAACACGAGAUAGGGCGUCGCGUCGGAUCUCUGGCGGCGAACCUCGCCGUGUGCUGCCUUGCGACCUCGCCGUGUUCCAAUGUCCAGCAGAUAAACCGCCCCAUCCCCGCGCCGCCGUUCUCCAUCUCGGCGCCAACACCUCACCACGCCCGACGCCUACCUUUGCCAUCCGUCGAUGGCUAGAUCCGCCAUCUGCGGACGCCUAGCUCCGCCAUUAGCGUACACCGGAGAAGGGAACUCCAGUCUUCAGGGAAUGAUGAGUCAAUGACAAGUAUUACUCCAAGUGCUGGGUCAAGUACAACGAUGGGACUUGAAAAUGAUGCGCUAAAAACUUCUCCAUGAGCAAAUAGCGGCCAAGAAGGUUCAACAUCAGUAGAAACACGAUAAUUCAAGCGGACAGCCCAAGCCAUGGGAGGACAUCCUUUAAUUUGCGUUAAAUAAUGGAAGAAAAUUUGCCUUUUUUUUUCAUAUAUGGACCUAGUUCCAUCAUUUUUUAUUUCUACUAUAACUAGUAGGCCUAGUUGAAUCCGUCCACGCAAUAUAUGUAGUCAUGUACACCUGCUACUCUGCUAUACCUACCUUGGGUUGUAAAUAUUGGGCGGCAACUCUAGUUAUGUGCUUCAUGGGAGAUUUAUAUAUUAUCAUGAGUGUCGUUCACAAAGCAUUGAUGAUAUUACUGUCGUACUAUGAGCUAUGAAAUGCCGAG